AGAAUGAACGCUGGCGGCGUGCUUAACACAUGCAAGUCGAACGGAAUACAAGGAGCUUGCUCCGAACUAUUUAGUGGCGAACGGGUGAGUAUCACGUGAGCAACCUGCCCCGAAGACUGGGAUAACACCGGGAAACCGGUGCUAAUACCGGAUGUCUUUCAAUGAUCGCAUGAUCGAUGAAAGAAAUGUUUUUUCGCUUUGGGAGGGGCUCGCGGUCCAUCAGCUUGUUGGCGGGUAACGGCCCACCAAGGCUACGACGGAUAGCUGGUCUGAGAGGACGAUCAGCCACACUGGAACUGAGACACGGUCCAGACUCCUACGGGAGGCAGCAGUGGGGAAUCUUGCGCAAAUGGACGAAAAGUCUGACGCAGCAACGCCGCGUGAGGGACGAAGGCUUUCUGAGUUGUAAACCUCUUUACGACAGGAACGAUUGUGACGGUACCUGUAGAAGAAGCACCGGCCAACUAUGUGCCAGCAGCCGCGGU
This 485-nucleotide ribosomal RNA is filed under the name uncultured bacterium. Its description in RNAcentral is "SSU rRNA". It matches the Rfam family "Bacterial small subunit ribosomal RNA", at positions 26 to 521 of the family's 1533-position model. The record is from RNAcentral.